Molecule: ribosomal RNA, 506 nt
Filed under: uncultured bacterium
Lineage: Bacteria
Description: bacterial SSU rRNA
Rfam family: Bacterial small subunit ribosomal RNA
Source: RNAcentral
GAGUUUGAUCCUGGCUCAGGACGAACGCUGGCGGCGCGCCUAACACAUGCAAGUCGAACGAGAGAGAGGGAGUUUGCUUCCUCAAUCGAGUGGCGAACGGGUGAGUAACGCGUGAGGAACCUGCCUCAAAGAGGGGGACAACAGUUGGAAACGACUGCUAAUACCGCAUAAGCCCACGACCCGGCAUCGGGAAGAGGGAAAAGGAGCAAUCCGCUUUGAGAUGGCCUCGCGUCCGAUUAGCUAGUUGGUGAGGUAACGGCCCACCAAGGCAACGAUCGGUAGCCGGACUGAGAGGUUGAACGGCCACAUUGGGACUGAGACACGGCCCAGACUCCUACGGGAGGCAGCAGUGGGGGAUAUUGCACAAUGGGGGAAACCCUGAUGCAGCGACGCCGCGUGGAGGAAGAAGGUUUUCGGAUCGUAAACUCCUGUCCUUGGAGACGAGUAGAAGACGGUAUCCAAGGAGGAAGCCCCGGCUAACUACGUGCCAGCCGCCGCGGUAAUAC